AUACGUAGGUGGCGAGCGUUGUUCGGAAUUACUGGACGUAAAGGAUGCGUAGGUGGAUACUUAAGUGGGAUGUGAAAUCCCCGGGCUCAACCCGGGAACUGCAUUCCAAACUGGGUAUCUAGAGUGCAGGAGAGGAAAGCGGAAUUCCUAGUGUAGCGGUGAAAUGCGUAGAUAUUAGGAGGAACACCAGUGGCGAAGGCGGCUUGCUGGACUGUAACUGACACUGAGGCAUGAAAGCGUGGGUAGCAAACAGGAUUAGAUACCCUGGUAGUCCACGCCGUAAACGAUGGGUACUAGGUGUAGGAGGUAUCGACCCCUUCUGUGCCGUCGUUAACACAAUAAGUACCCCGCCUGGGGAGUACGGUCACAAGACUAAAACUCAAAUGAAUUGACGGGG
Molecule: ribosomal RNA, 397 nt
Filed under: uncultured bacterium
Lineage: Bacteria
Description: partial 16S ribosomal RNA
Rfam family: Bacterial small subunit ribosomal RNA
Source: RNAcentral